UGUUUCACACAUUGUUAAACUUUAAAUGAUGCUGCUCAAACCAGGAUUUAAGGUAAUUCUUACCUGCAUUUUACCCUUUUUCUUGCCUAUUGGCACACAGAAACACCAAGACUGGUGGUUUUGAUGACAAAUAUUCCCAGCUGCAUAGUUAAACUUGGAGAAUUGAUUGAGGUAUCCAGAACACACAUGCUGAAGUGUUUGGAAGGAACAGGGACCUUUGCACUUCCAGAUUGAAUUCACAGGUUUUCUCACAGCAAGGGUUGGGAGAAUGUCAUGGUGAUGGGAAGGUUCAUGCAUUGUGUGAGUACUGAGGCUGGUGGUAGGAUGCCUCAUUGUGCCCCAUUUCUGCUGGUUCUGUGAGAUGCUUGGAGUUCACUAGGAGCAUCCUUUUCAGCACAGUGGAUUCUGCAUAUUUGUGAAUCACCUGUUCUGCUGACCUGAUGUGUUUCCCUACAAUGUGUUACGAGUGCUCCAUCAGUUGCUCCAUCACCUGCUGAGUGCUGCCACUGCCAUGAAAGGGUGGAAAAAAUGUCCUUUCUUACUGGGUUUAGCUGGCUCUUUCUUCCCCCUGUGGGCUGCUGGCAUCUGAUGAACAUGGUGCAGCUCUUGCUUCCUCCUUUGUCUUUUCCUCGCUGGGAGACUCUAUUGUCACAAUGGACAAAACCUAACUAAUUCUGCAAUUUAUCAGAAUAAAAAUUCUACCUGGCCAAGCCGUGGCACAGCUUCUGUGAGAGCUGGGUCUUAACUAUACCUUGGGUCCCAGCAGUGUCAGAGCAAUGAGAAAUUUUUAUUCUUAAACUAUAUCAGUUUCACAUUUAUUUAUCCUGAAAUUCAAAGUAUUUGUUUUAGAUUCUGUAAUGUUCUACACAGGGCCAGGACUUUGAGUUUGUUUGGCUUUAAAGAGAGUUUUAGUUGGGUUUAAAAGAGGAGAUUUGGGGUUUAAAAGAGGGGGCUUGGGGUUUAAAAGAGAGAGUUUUUUAUGUUUGAGGAGUUUUUGUAUUGUGCUGUAGUUCUGCUUUAACCUAAUGUAUCGAACAUUUUUGUUACAGAAGCCUUUGGAAGUUGGGACCAGAAAAGAGGAGUUGGUCCAAAAUCCUUGUUUCCUAGGGAUCCAAUUUCCUAGGGAUCCAAUAAAGAAUGGAAGAUGCUCAGCCGCUGGUUUUAAUUACUGACUUAAGGAAAACUAAGUUGCUGUGUACAUAUCUGUGUACACUCUAAGUUUCCUGAUGUUCUGUAGCAAAUACCAGGUAAAAUUUGGAUUUAAAUGGCAAAAUAAGAACUGGAGAUGCAGUUCCCAACUUCACUCCUGAAGGCAAAGCUGUAGAGUUUAAUUAACCAAUUGGUUAAUUAAAUUAUCAGUUCAGUACAUGGAUUACUUGACUGAGCUUCUGCAGAAACCAGUUUUAUAUUUUAGACCAGCUUUAACAGCAGAGCUGGAGCUGCAGAGCUCAGGCAGCGCUGGAUAUGUAAAAUGACUGUAAAGCUGUUUUGUGGGCAAAGAAAUUCCUGUUCUUCUUUGGGUAGAGAAUGUUUGUUCUGUGUUUUGUGUUUAAUUGGAAGAGGAGAAGCUUCACAAUAAAAGAUGAUUUAGACCAAGUGCAUGGGAUCUUUGUUCAAGCAAAACGCA
This is a non-coding RNA of Zonotrichia albicollis (white-throated sparrow), 1627 nucleotides long. The record is from RefSeq and is a predicted model, not a curated record. NCBI's taxonomy places the organism in Eukaryota, Metazoa, Chordata, Aves, Passeriformes, Passerellidae.